Molecule: ribosomal RNA, 486 nt
Filed under: uncultured bacterium
Lineage: Bacteria
Description: partial 16S ribosomal RNA
Rfam family: Bacterial small subunit ribosomal RNA
Source: RNAcentral
AGUGAACGCUGGCGGCAUGCCUUACACAUGCAAGUCGAACGGCAGCACGGGUGCUUGCACCUGGUGGCGAGUGGCGAACGGGUGAGUAAUACAUCGGAACAUGUCCUGUAGUGGGGGAUAGCCCGGCGAAAGCCGGAUUAAUACCGCAUACGAUCUACGGAUGAAAGCGGGGGCCCUUCGGGCCUCGCGCUAUCGGGUUGGCCGAUGGCUGAUUAGCUAGUUGGUGGGGUAAAGGCCUACCAAGGCGACGAUCAGUAGCUGGUCUGAGAGGACGACCAGCCACACUGGGACUGAGACACGGCCCAGACUCCUACGGGAGGCAGCAGUGGGGAAUUUUGGACAAUGGGCGAAAGCCUGAUCCAGCAAUGCCGCGUGUGUGAAGAAGGCCUUCGGGUUGUAAAGCACUUUUGUCCGGAAAGAAAUGCUUGGCCCUAAUACGGUCGGGGGAUGACGGUACCGGAAGAAUAAGCACCGGCUAACUACGUG